Herpailurus yagouaroundi (jaguarundi) is the source of this 293-nucleotide long non-coding RNA. RefSeq lists it as uncharacterized. The record is from RefSeq and is a predicted model, not a curated record. The transcript is spliced from 3 exons. NCBI's taxonomy places the organism in Eukaryota, Metazoa, Chordata, Mammalia, Carnivora, Felidae.
AGCUUAGACCAGAUGCUAAGCCUUGCACCACAGGUGUCUUUACGCUUUCUGUGCCUCUUGUGUCGAAAAGUGAAAGAAUUCUAGGCGUGCUUAGAGGAAGUUAGGUAAACAUUCUGGGAGUUCUAAAAUACGCUUCCUAGAGGGCAAAGAAUGUGACUGCACGGGUUGGCUGUGUGUAAAGAGAAGGAGCUUCUAACCAUGACCCAAUGACAUCAUCAAGAUCCACCGGAGGGGACAGAGACAUGAACAUGGAGGUUGGCAAAGGGCGUGGUCUGUCCAGAUCAGAAGAGCAC